Molecule: ribosomal RNA, 441 nt
Filed under: uncultured bacterium
Lineage: Bacteria
Description: partial 16S ribosomal RNA
Rfam family: Bacterial small subunit ribosomal RNA
Source: RNAcentral
CCUACGGGAGGCAGCAGUGGGGAAUAUUGCGCAAUGGGGGCAACCCUGACGCAGCAACGCCGCGUGAUUGAAGAAGGCCUUCGGGUUGUAAAGAUCUUUAAUCAGGGGCGAAAAAUGACGGUACCUGAAGAAUAAGCUCCGGCUAACUACGUGCCAGCAGCCGCGGUAAUACGCAGGGAGCAAGCGUUAUCCGGAGUUACUGGGGUUAAAGGGCGUGUAGGCGGGCCUGUAAGUCAGAGGUGAAAUCUGGGGGCUUAACCCCCAACCUGCUUUUGAAACUGCGGGUCUUGAGUGAUGGAGAGGCAUGCGGAAUUCCCAGUGUAGCGGUGAAAUGCGUAGAUAUUGGGAGGAACACCAGUGGCGAAGGCGGCCUGCUGGACAUUAACUGACGCUGAGGCGCGAAAGCGUGGGGAGCAAACAGGAUUAGAUACCCGGGUAGUC